Molecule: long non-coding RNA, 2310 nt
Organism: Bombus impatiens (common eastern bumble bee)
Lineage: Eukaryota; Metazoa; Arthropoda; Insecta; Hymenoptera; Apidae
Exons: 2
Source: RefSeq, a predicted model, not a curated record
CGUUCCAGUCUAGACACGCCUUUAAAGAUUUUAAUGGGCUCCACAAUCGUCGUUCUGGGAAACGUUUAAGCCGAAUGGAAACAAGGCAACCAGACGAAGGACGCCCUUUUCCAUUUCAUUUCGUCUCACGUUCAUACGCAGUAGAUUUGAUCGAUCAUUAGAAUUUUUGGAAAGUUUGAAAGUGAUCGAUCUGACUGUGAUUGUAUCAGUGAUUAGAUCUGUUGAAUCCUAAACAUCGUUUCGUAAUCUUUCGUCAGAAAAUGUCAUUCUCUGAUCAUACUUCGUAGUCAUUCUUCAUUUCGAUCGAAACUACAUCGAGAUAAUUGGAAGGUAGGUGCUGACCGAUCUUCCUGUCGAAAACUCUGAUUUUAUUAGCCUUAAGUAUAGAAAUUUGAGUAAAAUAGUCAUUCAACCUGAAGAUUAUCUAACUUCAAAUUAGGUCAUUUGAAAAUUGCUGUGCACGCGCUAAGGACAAUUUGUUGCGCGAUGGUUUUAUCGCUUACGAAAAGGACAUUCGUUUAUAUGGAAGUACGCGCAUCGUACGACGCGACUGCAGAACGACCUUUUUUGUUAUUAAAAAAAGAAAUUGAACUUUUGAUUGAUGCGAGCCACAGCGACAAAACUAUCGCUAGUGCGCGUUUAGCCUUAAAGUCUUUUCAUUUCCUUCGAGGUCAUAUUAAGAUCAUUUUGAUUGGUGGAAGUUUUUGAGAAAUUAUUUCAAAGUCCCUUCAAAGUCAUCAUCGAUAAAAGUCGCGAUAAUUUGCGUGGCAAUCGGGAGUAUUAUAAUUCUUCUCAGGUUCAUCAAAUCGGACAAUUCCCAAUUUUAGAUUGGAUAUGCGAAGUCACCUAUCUGCUGCUUAAGUGUUUGAAAGAUGAAACAUGACGGGGCUGCAGUCGAUGCGUGUGUAGAUAGCGACAACAUCAUUAUUUCAUGACCGCAGGCUAGUGAAAUGGCGUCUACGUUUUCAGUACGGGUAAUACAUCCAUCCAUAGUUACAACGACAUUUUUAUCAUUAAAUAGCUUUGGGAAUCUUAUAAAAUGCCUUACCCAUUCCACAAAUAAUUUGCUUAUAUUAUAAUACAGCCAGUCUCUUAGCGGAAACUAAUUUCUCCUGUUUCUUCGAUUCUACUUCGUCCUUGUUGGGAUUGUUAGAUAUCGUUAUUGGAAGUAGAAACAGGUAUUCGCGAUUUUUUGUCUAAAAUGGAAUAUUACAAAGAUCGAUUUUUGCUUUUUUUACGCUCAUAAUGUUGAGCAUCGAGUUUGUGACGUUUUCUGCACAAAAGUCUCUGUAGGAUUCGAUGUAUUGUGACAUAUAUGCUAUAUGUGCUAUAUGUGUCAGCUAUCUGGGCAACGCUUUCGUCUUCUUUUAGCUUACCAUACGAUGUAUCUGAUCUUCUGUCGCAUUACAUUGUUUACAAUACGGACGUAUUACUAACGCAAACAAAUUCGCUGUCGUUAAACGCAUCUCUGUCUAAUGGCCAAAUUCCAUUUCCCAGAUUCGCUGAUAGCAUUUCUAACUGAUGCAGCUUUGGCAUAUGCUGCUACAAGUAUAGUUUGCUAUAUUUCGAAGAUCUUAGCAACGCUAAGAACACUGUACGAAGGUGCAAAAAUGUAUGAGACAUCCAAAAUAUAUUAAUACUCGUUAUGAUAUUAAAUAGAUCUCUGUCCAAUUUUCGUCUUUUAAAUUGUAUUUAUAAAAAUAGGAGUUUGUAAAUUUCCGCGUUCUACUUGUUGCUAAUGAAACGCAGAUGUACGAUAAGAUAUAGUUCUUGCUUCCUUUCUUCAAAUCAAAUUGCUUAAAGCAGUCUGCAAUUAAAGCAGAUCGCGCUUUUAAUCUUUGCAUUUCCAGUUUCUUCUUGCGUUAAUUUAUAUAAUUACUUAAAGCAGAAAUGCUUGAGCAAUUUCUAUUUAAGUGAAUUUUCAAUUUCCUUUAAAUUGACAGUGUUACCCUAAACGAAGUGUUAUUCUACGUAAAAAUAACAGUGUAAUUUUCUAUUACAAAUUGUUCAAGCGACAUUUAAGUGGAUAUGGAUGAAUCAAUAUACGUUAUGUUAUUAUACGCAAUACAAUAUUAUUAUGCACAUUAAUCUUAUAAUAGUUACCUGCUUAAAAAAAAUUCAUAUGUUUCAUUAGAGAAAUUUAUUAACGAAAUUCUUUAAAAAAUAAUGUAUAAUCUCAUAAAGCAACAUAAAUGACUUGAGAUUUAUGUAUGUAAACGAAAGAUUACUUUAUUAUUUACAGAGUCACAUGACAAUACAAUUACACACUAUUUACAACAAUAGUGAUAGAUGAAUUUUAUCGUCAUUAGA